Molecule: ribosomal RNA, 253 nt
Filed under: uncultured bacterium
Lineage: Bacteria
Description: partial 16S ribosomal RNA
Rfam family: Bacterial small subunit ribosomal RNA
Source: RNAcentral
UACGUAGGUGGCAAGCGUUGUCCGGAUUUACUGGGCGUAAAGGGCGUGCAGGCGGUUUGUUAAGUCUAGGGUGAAAGCUCCCGGCUCAACUGGGAGAGGUCCUUGGAUACUGGCAGACUUGAGGGAGGCAGAGGAAAGUGGAAUUCCCGGUGUAGUGGUGAUAUGCGUAGAUAUCGGGAGGAACACCAGUGGCGAAAGCGGCGACCUGGACAAGUACUGACACUCAACUACGAAAGCGUGGGGAGCAAACAGG